Molecule: ribosomal RNA, 634 nt
Filed under: uncultured marine eukaryote
Lineage: Eukaryota
Description: SSU rRNA
Rfam family: Eukaryotic small subunit ribosomal RNA
Source: RNAcentral
CAGUUAAAAAGCUCGUAGUUGGAGUUCAGAGUGAGCUCAGCUGGUCGGCCUAAUGGGUCAGAACUGGUUGACUCUCUCUUGUUUGUGGGUCUCGCCCGGAGUUAACUCUUCGGAUGUGGAUCCCACAUCGUUUACCUUGAAAAAAUUAGAGUGUUCAAAGCAGGCGUUUGCUUGAAUAUAUUAGCAUGGAAUAAUGGAAUAGGACGCUGGUUCUAUUUUGUUGGUUUUGAGAACCAGAGUAAUGAUUAAUAGGGACAGUUGGGGGCACUCAUAUUUCAUUGUCAGAGGUGAAAUUCUUGGAUUUAUGAAAGAUGAACUUCUGCGAAAGCAUUUGCCAAGGAUGUUUUCAUUAAUCAAGAACGAAAGUUAGGGGAUCGAAGACGAUCAGAUACCGUCGUAGUCUUAACCAUAAACUAUGCCGGCUAGGGAUUGGGCGUGGUUUGUUCAUUGACCCGCUCAGCACCUUACGAGAAAUCAAAGUCUUUGGGUUCCGGGGGGAGUAUGGUCGCAAGGCUGAAACUUAAAGGAAUUGACGGAGGGGCACCACCAGGAGUGGAACCUGCGGCUUAAUUUGACUCAACACGGGAAAACUCACCAGGUCCAGACAUAAUAAGGAUUGACAGAUUGAUAGCUC